UGCCUCAGCCUUCCAAGUAGCUGGGGCCACAGAUGCCUGGGAGUGGAAUUGUUGGGUUAUAUGCAGAUUCUGCGUUGCAUUGAGGAAACGCCAAACUUUUCCAUAGCGGCUGCACCGUUUUACAUUCCCACUGACUGUCAGUGCCUCGAGCUGUCAGCACCAUGGACAGGCUGGAGUGCGGUGGUGCGAUCACGGCUUACUGCAGCUUUG
Nomascus leucogenys (northern white-cheeked gibbon) is the source of this 210-nucleotide long non-coding RNA. RefSeq lists it as uncharacterized. Lineage: Eukaryota; Metazoa; Chordata; Mammalia; Primates; Hylobatidae. The record is from RefSeq and is a predicted model, not a curated record. The transcript has 3 exons.